Eriocheir sinensis (Chinese mitten crab) is the source of this 1421-nucleotide long non-coding RNA. RefSeq lists it as uncharacterized. NCBI's taxonomy places the organism in Eukaryota, Metazoa, Arthropoda, Malacostraca, Decapoda, Varunidae. The record is from RefSeq and is a predicted model, not a curated record. The transcript is spliced from 2 exons.
ACUGAAGAAUUGGAUCAGGUUGGACAAAAGCCAGUACCACAGACUUCUGGAGUUAGUGACACCUCUUAUUGCCAGAAAUGACACCAGGAUGAGGAAGGCUGUCACUGCAGGAGAGCGUUUGAGACAGGUUGAAGCCACGCGGAAAGUCUCGGUCUUGGUCUUGGAAAUGUAAACAAAGGCGGAAAUUUGCAGGCGGAAACGAUCCUGAUCGUCUGACAAAUUCAUGCGAUAAGUUCAUGCGGAACGAUGAAAAAUCGACGGAAAUCGCAUUAAUCGACGGAAAAAGUGCUAGUGUGACACCGCCUUAAGUGUCCCUCCUUGUCGAACAUUUGCUGGACAUCAGGAAAUCAACCUUGCUUUUGAGUCUGUAAAAGUACUACUCGAGGACUUUUACGUGCCCGGCGGCAUUUAAGGCAUUUUCGAAGUAAACUUGCGAGUUCUACGAGUUAGAAGGACACGAAGAAGAAAUCUCUAUUUUGAAAGCCAAAUUUCACUUUCAAAGUCUCCAAUAAUACGCCCCCAGAUACUAAAGAGAUUUCCUGUAAAGUUUUCUCAAAUUUCCUAGCUUCUGUAUCAACACCAGACGCUCUAGGAGGAAUAUUUUGAGGUUGUUUGUGUUUGGUUUGCGAGCUGACGAACCCGUUGUGUCAAACUUUGGAACUGGCCAACUUUAAUUAACCACGAAGCAAAGAGUUGGACGGACGAGUAGAGACCUUAGUUUAAAAGAGGAGGAGGUAAAUGAAAAAAAUAAAUAACGAGUGGGGAGUUUGCUCAACAAAUUCACGAGUAGGAAUUUUAGUCUGGAAGGAACAAGGUUAAUGGCAAGGUGAGGAGCGAGUAGAGUGUUUGCUUGACAAAUUCACGAGUAGGAAUUCUAGUCUGGAGGGGACAAGGUUAAUGGUAAGGUAAGGAGCAAGUAGAGAGUUUAUACUUAACAAAUUCACGAGUAGGAAUUCUAGUCUGAAGGGAACAAGGUUAAUGGUAAGGUGAGGAGCGAGUAGAGAGUUUAUACUUAACAAAUUCACGAGUAGGAAUUUUAGUCUGGAGGGAACAAGGCUAAUGGUAAGGUGAGGAGCGAGUAGAGAGUUUGCUUAACAAAUUCACAAACAGGAAUUUUAGUCUGGAGGGGACAAGGUUAAUGGUAAGGUAAGGAGCAAGUAGAGAGUUUAUACUUAACAAAUUCACGAGUAGGAAUUCUAGUCUGAAGGGAACAAGGUUAAUGGUAAGGUGAGGAGCAAGUAGAGAGUUUAUACUUAACAAAUUCACGAGUAGGAAUUCUAGUCUGGAGGGAACAAGGUUAAUGGUCAAGUGGGGUACCUAGUGAAGUGGGAAAAAUGAGAAAGGAGAAAGAACGAGGGGACUUACCGGCAGCCAGGGCCCCAGCGGCAAGCGUCAACAGCCACAGCAUCUUCAUCUUGCCU